This 399-nucleotide ribosomal RNA is filed under the name Enterobacter cloacae. RNAcentral describes it as "bacterial SSU rRNA". It matches the Rfam family "Bacterial small subunit ribosomal RNA", at positions 37 to 432 of the family's 1533-position model. The record is from RNAcentral. Lineage: Bacteria; Pseudomonadati; Pseudomonadota; Gammaproteobacteria; Enterobacterales; Enterobacteriaceae.
GGGGAUGGCGGCAGCCUACACUGCAAGUCGAACGGUAGCACAGAGAGCUUGCUCUCGGGUGACGAGUGGCGGACGGGUGAGUAAUGUCUGGGAAACUGCCUGAUGGAGGGGGAUAACUACUGGAAACGGUAGCUAAUACCGCAUAAUGUCGCAAGACCAAAGAGGGGGACCUUCGGGCCUCUUGCCAUCAGAUGUGCCCAGAUGGGAUUAGCUAGUAGGUGGGGUAACGGCUCACCUAGGCGACGAUCCCUAGCUGGUCUGAGAGGAUGACCAGCCACACUGGAACUGAGACACGGUCCAGACUCCUACGGGAGGCAGCAGUGGGGAAUAUUGCACAAUGGGCGCAAGCCUGAUGCAGCCAUGCCGCGUGUAUGAAGAAGGCCUUCGGGUUGUAAAGUA